GGGAAAGUUGAAAAGAACUUUGAAGAGAGAGUUCAAUAGUACGUGAAACCUCUCGGGGGUAAGCGGGCAGAACUUGCAAGUAUUGGCUGGGAAUAUUCAGGCUUAAUGUUGGCGACUGAGAGUGUAUUAUAAAGUUGUCCUUUUGGGGAUUGGCUGAUGUGUGCUCUUUGAUUUGUUGACGAUGCGCCGCAUUUAUUUCCGUCAUCGGGUUGCAUGUGACUGAGCCUGUAGUUUAGGUGCUGAGAUCCUGCGAAGCCUUGUUGUUUCGAGUCUUUGGUUUCCGACUACGGCUGCGGUCAUUAUAUCUUUUACUGGACAGGCGUUUAGGCGCGGUCAAUGGUUUGUACGAGUUGUGUGCAUGUUGUAUGUGGACGGGUAACCGUAGCAUACGAUAUGAGGCUGAUUGUCGGUAUGAGCUAAUUUGGCACUGUCCUUU
Molecule: ribosomal RNA, 436 nt
Filed under: Parisotoma aff. notabilis L1
Lineage: Eukaryota; Metazoa; Arthropoda; Collembola; Entomobryomorpha; Isotomidae
Description: partial 28S ribosomal RNA
Source: RNAcentral